This 557-nucleotide unclassified non-coding RNA is filed under the name Fusarium avenaceum. Its description in RNAcentral is "sequence contains ITS1, 5.8S rRNA gene and ITS2". The stretch from base 198 to 351 matches the Rfam family "5.8S ribosomal RNA". The record is from RNAcentral. Lineage: Eukaryota; Fungi; Ascomycota; Sordariomycetes; Hypocreales; Nectriaceae.
AAGUCGUAACAAGGUCUCCGUUGGUGAACCAGCGGAGGGAUCAUUACCGAGUUUACAACUCCCAAACCCCUGUGAACAUACCUUAAUGUUGCCUCGGCGGAUCAGCCCGCGCCCCGUAAAACGGGACGGCCCGCCAGAGGACCCAAACUCUAAUGUUUCUUAUUGUAACUUCUGAGUAAAACAAACAAAUAAAUCAAAACUUUCAACAACGGAUCUCUUGGUUCUGGCAUCGAUGAAGAACGCAGCAAAAUGCGAUAAGUAAUGUGAAUUGCAGAAUUCAGUGAAUCAUCGAAUCUUUGAACGCACAUUGCGCCCGCUGGUAUUCCGGCGGGCAUGCCUGUUCGAGCGUCAUUUCAACCCUCAAGCCCCCGGGUUUGGUGUUGGGGAUCGGCUCUGCCUUCUGGCGGUGCCGCCCCCGAAAUACAUUGGCGGUCUCGCUGCAGCCUCCAUUGCGUAGUAGCUAACACCUCGCAACUGGAACGCGGCGCGGCCAUGCCGUAAAACCCCAACUUCUGAAUGUUGACCUCGGAUCAGGUAGGAAUACCCGCUGAACUUAA